This 448-nucleotide ribosomal RNA is filed under the name uncultured soil bacterium. RNAcentral describes it as "bacterial SSU rRNA". It matches the Rfam family "Bacterial small subunit ribosomal RNA", at positions 26 to 518 of the family's 1533-position model. The record is from RNAcentral.
AGAACGAACGCUGGCGGCAUGCCUAACACAUGCAAGUCGAACGGGACCUUCGGGUCUAGUGGCGCACGGGUGCGUAACGCGUGGGGAUCUGCCCUUAGGUACGGAAUAACUCAGGGAAACUUGAGCUAAUACCGUAUAAUGACUUCGGUCCAAAGAUUUAUCGCCUAGGGAUGAACCCGCGUAGGAUUAGCUUGUUGGUGAGGUAAAGGCUCACCAAGGCGACGAUCCUUAGCUGGUCUGAGAGGAUGAUCAGCCACACUGGGACUGAGACACGGCCCAGACUCCUACGGGAGGCAGCAGUGGGGAAUAUUGGACAAGUGGGCGAAAGCCUGAUCCAGCAAUGCUGCGUGAGUGAUGAAGGCCUUAGGGUUGUAAAGUCUCUUUUGCCCGGGAUGAUAAUGACAGUACCGGAGAAUAAGCUCCGGCUAACUCCGUCGCCAGCAGCCGC